RNAcentral lists this long non-coding RNA (2548 nucleotides) under Panax ginseng (ginseng). RNAcentral describes it as "long non-coding RNA (PGIN_LNC005062)". The record is from RNAcentral. Lineage: Eukaryota; Viridiplantae; Streptophyta; Magnoliopsida; Apiales; Araliaceae.
AAGGUUUUAGAAGAUCGUCAACAUAGACAUCAUUCACAAAGCAUAAAAAACUUUCAAACAUUAAAAAAAACAAAAAAUAACUUGUUUAUUCUUACAAUGUUGAACUUGGAGAUUACAUUACUAUGGUAAUUAAGGUUGCCUUAUUGCCGUCCAUUGCACCAUAUUCUUUCUAUGAAAUCGAUCCUGAUUCCAUGACAAUACAAAUGAGCAGUCUCUAUAAAAAAGAGUUGUAUUGAUGUGAUAGACUUACACAAUGAAGACAGAUCGAGACUUGCAUUACUAUGGUAAGGUUGCAUUACUAGUGAUCGAGUUGCCGCUCGUGAUUCCUAAUCAAUUAUUGUUACAAAAUCACACAAAAUAUCGUCGGGAUCAAUUGCUCCUCCAAAUAAGCAGCCACCAAAGGGUGUACUAUGAUUCAACAAGCAUGCAUAGUGUCCAAGCUGCAUGUGUAAAAAUCAAACAGUUUUAGCAUCAAGAUCAACGUAAAUGGGUUUAAAUAAUGUGCAUGCCCAUUUUGAUAAAUCUUCCUCUGGUUCAUUGAUGAGGUUGAAGAGCAAGCGUGUCAGUAUAUGGAAAGAUUUGAUAGAUUUGAUCCAGUUUAUGGAAAGAUUUAAUAGAUUAUGGAAAGAUUUGAUCCAGUGAUAAUUUGGUAAUUUCUGUUAAGUUUGGAGUGUCGGAUUUUGGUAUUUUCGGAGCCUAAUGUUAUUGAAAAUGGGUCAACGAUCAAAAAUCACUAGCACUUUGCUUGUGAACUGUAGGAUUUUGGUCAAAUUCCAUCGUUUAGGCCUCCAAAAUUACAUUUUAUUAUUUUUGGGUUAUUUUUGUAAUUUUUCUUAUUAGUUUUCCUUUUCGGUUUUGGAUUCCGCUUUUAGGGUUUUGUUAUUUAAACGUUUGUUACGAUGGGAAGAAGAAGUUUUUGAUGAAUAAUAGAUUUCUCUUAUUUUUCAAAAUUCUCUGAAUUAGAAUUUUGUUGCCUAUUUUUUGGAAUUCGUAGAAUCAACAGGUUGUAGAAGGUUAUCGUUGGCAAUCGUGCGCGGUUCAACAUUUGAUAACCAUUUAUUCCGCUACGUCAUUUAUGAGCAGCAGCAACAAUCCACCAGUGGUUUUUCGAUCACCAGUUGUUAUGUAGAGUUAUUAUUACCAUCAUCAAAAAGGGUGACAAAGAGGGAGAAAAUGUUUGUUUAUAUAUUUUGUUGUAAUGAUGAUAACAUAUAUUUUGUAUGAAAAUAUUUUGUGAUUUUCAGGUUAUGGACGGAUUUGAUCAUAUACGGUGUUGCUGAAAGUGGAGUUAUAUACACUGAAUUUGUGAAGGCCCAACAUGAAUAUAAAGCUUCGUAGAUUUGCCUACUAGAUCCUAUAUCCUUAAGAAAUCACUUAGGGAAUUAUGUAAGUUUUUUUAGUCGAAAGUUUUAAUUAAAGACACUAUUAAAUUGCUGAAAAUCUGUCUUAUUAAAACAUGACAUGGAUUAAGGAUGUGAUAUUAUGGAAACAGAAUAUAUCAACAAACUGAUUUGGGUGGUACUCUAUUGGCAUAAUCUUAUCAAAUUUGUUUAAGGAUAUCUUUCCCUUUAAUUAAGAUUUUUCAGAUUGUUUUAUUUUGAAGAACAAAAUAUUUGAAAAAUUGACAUUCGUUGUAUUGUGUGGGCCCAAGUGCAAAUUAAGAUUCAUGGGAACGAACACAUUACUUGAUUUACUUUGUUCUUGCUCAAAGAUUGUACUCAUCCAAAUGCAUGAUAUUAAGUGAAGCUUGCACCUUCUGCGUCAUUUAACACUCUUGAACAUAGGAAAGCAAGGUUCCUAAAAUCAAAUGUUUCAGUAAAAGGUAACACAAUCAGUUAAAAUAAUUUACAUACAACAAAGAAAGGUAGAUUCUUGAUAAUCAAGCUACACCCAUCCCAAAAAAAUAGGGUAAACCAAUAAACUCUAAAUUUGCAAAGGCAACAUCAAUUUCACCCCAACCAAUACCCAGAUGUUAACACACACAUAAAAAGCCAAUAAUCCAUAUCAAUUGAUCAAAUUAAUCACCAGAUCCAAGUUAAUAACAACGGAUACAAAAAUCCUAAGUCUUACCUGUAUUAAUCUAGAUAAUAGAUAUCAUACUCGAAACCCAAUUCAUAAUCACAUAAAAGAGGGAUAAGAAACUAAAAACAUACCAAUUCAGAACGAGCGAUUUUGAUGGACACAGAUUCAGAAGCGAGCAUCAAUAAAACCCUUAGAUGUCAACGGCGUGGAGACGUCGAAGAACCCUAGACCAAUCGAAAUGGCGACGACGAUGUACUGAACAGAAAGGCUCUGUCCACACAAAAUAUCAGCUUCUGCUACCAUAUUUCUGAUUCUUGUUUACUAUUACAAUCAACCACAACCCUAAUUUAAGAUAAUUUUCUUCUGGAUUGAUUCUAAAUGCUAUGAGAGAUUUUUUUCGCCGAAACUAUUAUUUGGGGAAUUGCGAUAAUGAGGGUUUUGUUUGUAUUUUGAGUAAUUUAUAAGGGAGAGGCAAUGAGAAAUCAUAUUCAUAUUGGGAGUGUUGCCAUAGACUCAUAGGAAAAAA